AUUGAACGCUGGCGGCAUGCCUUACACAUGCAAGUCGAACGGCAGCACGGGGCAACCUGGUGGCGAGUGGCGAACGGGUGAGUAAUGCAUCGGAACGUGCCAUUGAGUGGGGGAUAACGUAGCGAAAGUUGCGCUAAUACCGCAUAUUCUGUGAGCAGGAAAGCAGGGGGACCGCAAGGCCUUGCGCUCUUUGAGCGGCCGAUGUCAGAUUAGCUAGUUGGUGAGGUAACGGCUUACCAAGGCGACGAUCUGUAGCGGGUCUGAGAGGAUGAUCCGCCACACUGGAACUGAGACACGGUCCAGACUCCUACGGGAGGCAGCAGUGGGGAAUUUUGGACAAUGGGCGCAAGCCUGAUCCAGCCAUGCCGCGUGAGUGAAGAAGGCCUCGG
RNAcentral lists this ribosomal RNA (389 nucleotides) under uncultured bacterium. RNAcentral describes it as "bacterial SSU rRNA". It matches the Rfam family "Bacterial small subunit ribosomal RNA", at positions 30 to 420 of the family's 1533-position model. The record is from RNAcentral.